AUAACAGGACACGGGGGGACAACGGCUGGACAUCCGGGAUUUCUGGGGACAGGGUCUGGGGACAAGACAGGACUGGCGGGGACUUCUAGGAUCUGGACAAGACGAGACAAAUAAUCAGACAAGGCUUUAGCAGCUAUGAUAACCCAACACAGUCUCACCCCUAUUCGUCACAUACUGCCGUUUGGUCAUUUCCCCCUCACGUCCAUAAGCAACGUUGAGGGUACCCCCUAUCCGUCACUUGACAACGUAGAGGAGGGUCGUCCGAUAUUUGAAUGCAAAUCCCUCAUCUUUGGAUUUUGACGAACCUGGCUUAUCCAUCUAGCGGAUUUUUUUUAUUUGUUCUUCUCUUUUUUUGCAGAUUCCUUAAUCCCUGUCCUUUAAAAAAACAGCACCUCAUUACAUUAUGCACUUCUAAGAGCCACAUUUGUCUUGUUUAUUGUCUUAUUUGUAUUUUUUUAUUGUCUUGUUAUUUCUCUCUCUCUCUAUCUCUCACUCUCUCUCUCUCUCACACUCUCUCUCUAUCUCUCACUCUCUCUCCAUCCCUGACUCUCUCCCCUACCAUCUGAGUGGUGGUUGUUUUUUAGAGGGACGGAGGAACUGGGUUUCUGCCUCUUCUUCAGUCACUUUAAUCAACUGAAAGUGUAAAGAAUGACAAAGCCAAAAUUCAGGCCUUGCCCAAAAACAAAAAUGCAUCUCGGGUGGUGGCCUCUGCCCAAAUAGCUGUCCAAAAACUUUCUGCCUUGGGCUAUAUGCCCAUAUUAUUUAUCAGCCAGAGGCACAAGGGCACAGGCAAGUUGAUGGCAGAUGUAGUAACGCAUCUGCCACCGACGCAAAACAACACAUGUUUCUUAACCAGCAUGAAGAGGGCAUAUGACUUCAUGAUCAAACUGGAUGAUGUGCCCCAGCCCCAGCAAGACCAGCCCCAGCAAGACCA
Long non-coding RNA from Carassius auratus (goldfish), 934 nucleotides. RefSeq lists it as uncharacterized. The record is from RefSeq and is a predicted model, not a curated record. NCBI's taxonomy places the organism in Eukaryota, Metazoa, Chordata, Actinopteri, Cypriniformes, Cyprinidae. The transcript is spliced from 4 exons.